AGAGUUUGAUCCUGGCUCAGGAUGAACGCUAGCGACAGGCUUAACACAUGCAAGUCGAGGGGCAGCGGGGAGGUAGCAAUACUUCCGCCGGCGACCGGCGCACGGGUGAGUAACACGUAUGGAACCUGCCCGUAGCAGGGGGAUAAACGGAAGAAAUUCCGUCUAAUACCGCGUAAUAACUCCGAGAGGCAUCUCAUGGAGUUUAAAGGGUAACACCGGCUACGGAUGGCCAUGCGGCGCAUUAGCUAGUUGGCGGGGUAACGGCCCACCAAGGCGACGAUGCGUAGGGGUUCUGAGAGGAAGGUCCCCCACACUGGUACUGAGACACGGACCAGACUCCUACGGGAGGCAGCAGUGAGGAAUAUUGGUCAAUGGGCGCGAGCCUGAACCAGCCAAGUCGCGUGAGGGAAGACGGUCCUAUGGAUUGUAAACCUCUUUUGUCGAGGAGCAAAAGACGCCACGUGUGGCGUUCCGAGAGUACCCGAAGAAAAAGCAUCGGCUAACUCCGUGCCAGCAGCCGCGGUAAUACGGAGGAUGCGAGCGUUAUCCGGAUUUAUUGGGUUUAAAGGGUGCGCAGGCGGAAGAUCAAGUCAGCGGUAAAAUUGAGAGGCUCAACCUCUUCGAGCCGUUGAAACUGGUUUUCUUGAGUGAGCGAGAAGUAUGCGGAAUGCGUGGUGUAGCGGUGAAAUGCAUAGAUAUCACGCAGAACUCCGAUUGCGAAGGCAGCAUACCGGCGCUCAACUGACGCUCAUGCACGAAAGUGUGGGUAUCGAACAGGAUUAGAUACCCUGGUAGUCCACACAGUAAACGAUGAAUACUAAUUGUUCGGGGAGAAUGAUCCCUGAGUGAUACAGCGAAAGCGUUAAGUAUUCCACCUGGGGAGUACGCCGGCAACGGUGAAACUCAAAGGAAUUGACGGGGGCCCGCACAAGCGGAGGAACAUGUGGUUUAAUUCGAUGAUACGCGAGGAACCUUACCCGGGCUCAAACGACACAGGAAUACUUUUGAAAGGAGGUAGCUCUACGGAGUCUGUGUCGAGGUGCUGCAUGGUUGUCGUCAGCUCGUGCCGUGAGGUGUCGGCUUAAGUGCCAUAACGAGCGCAACCCCCAUCGCCAGUUACCAGCAAGUCAAGUUGGGGACUCUGGCGAGACUGCCGGCGCAAGCUGUGAGGAAGGCGGGGAUGACGUCAAAUCAGCACGGCCCUUACGUCCGGGGCGACACACGUGUUACAAUGGCAGGUACAGAGAGAAGCAAUGCGGCGACGCAAAGCGGAACUUGAAAGCCUGUCUCAGUUCGGAUUGGAGUCUGCAACUCGACUCCAUGAAGCUGGAUUCGCUAGUAAUCGCGCAUCAGCCAUGGCGCGGUGAAUACGUUCCCGGGCCUUGUACACACCGCCCGUCAAG
This 1403-nucleotide ribosomal RNA is filed under the name uncultured bacterium. RNAcentral describes it as "bacterial SSU rRNA". It matches the Rfam family "Bacterial small subunit ribosomal RNA". The record is from RNAcentral.